GGGACCCAUGCCAGGAAUGCCACAGUCGGGGAGCAAAUUCUCGUGGGGAUGGCAUCUAUGCCAGCCAGCCAGCACCCUCCCUCCCUCCCCCGAGUUCGCUUUUGCAGACCACCCUCGCGUGUCUUUUUGCCUAUUUCGGUGCUUGUCCCCAACCUGGGGUGUGUCCAAUCUCCACCCGCGUCAUGCAACGGCAGUUAAUGGAGCUCACUGUUUACACUGCAUCCACCGUCUAUUUGAUUGUUUGUUUGAUUGAUGGGCGUGUAGCAGUGUGUUUACCCUUCGGCAAGUUGGUGAUGGGUGGUUGAGAUCAGCAGCUGUGUAUGAUUCUACACUCGCUUGAGAUAACCAAACAAAAACCCAGCUUAGCUGCAUUAUGUUGUUUUCCUUGUGUUUACAAUUACAGACCUUUUGUCACUUUUUUCCUUCUUUUUUUUUUUGUAUCUUUUGUUCCAGACAAGGCUAAUUAUGCAUGCUUAAUUUCUUAAGGAAACAUGGAUUAAAUUGAAUAAAAUUGAACUUUGAUGUCUGAUUCAUGAUGUAUGUUGUUGUAACACGUUUCCAUCUUUCUUACUUACUGUUCAUGAGGCUUUUCAGUGGUUUAUGUCACACAUAAUUAUUCAUGAGUUACCAAGUUGCAGGAUUCAAAGGGACAAAUUCCAAACAGGGUUAACUGGUUGGCCUUCAUUUUUAUUUUAUUUUUCACUUAGCUACUCAGAUAUCCUUUAUUUUGAACCACUUGUGUAACAAAAAAACUCACCUGUCUUCAAGUUAAUAUCCAUGAUGAAAUUAAACUAUUCUGCACACAAACAUGCAUGUUAUAAAUCCUUCCAUCUAAGCACAUCCUCAUAUUCAGACCCAUGUUUUUUUUUACACAAUUUCAUUCAAAUUCAUGCAUCCAUCCACAAAUUGAAAGGGGCUAUUUCACAUUCUCCAAUGCUGAAACACUCAACUGCCUCCUUCAAAUUUGGAAAGCAGAGGUUGUAACACUAGAAUGGGAUCAUGGCACCUCCCUUUUUCUUCUUCUGCUUCUUCUUCUUCUUCUUCUUCUGUUUCUCCCCCUUGUGCUCACAAGGUUCAAUUCCAUUCUCUCUCUCUCUCUCUCUCUCUCCCUUUUGGAUAAGUCUGGAUUGUGCCAUCAGUGUCCCAUCCAAUCUCAGGGAGUAUGAACUCAAAGGCCAAGCCCUAAUCAAUCACCCAUGGAUGGAUGCUUACAGCCAUUAAAGCAAGAGCAGUAGGAGGAGGAGAAGCAAGACUUCCUAAGCUUGCCAUCCUGCCAUUUCUAACAAGGGUUGAGAACAAAGAGGCAAAUGUAGGUACCUCUGAACUUUGAUGAUUAUGCAAGAUCAAACCAAACUUAGAUGUAGAGAUGUCACAGUUGAAACAAUAGACAAUACUCUGGCCACAAAACUUGAAACACAUUUAUCUCCUUUGCAUACAAAUCCAGGAAGGGAGAGAGGGCCCUACCCAAAUGCCAGCUAGGCCAUAACCACAUCUAUUCAUGUAUAUGGGUUCAAUGCCUGGAGGCUCAUCUGAGUGGGUAAGUUUCAACCCAUUGGGUUGGAACCAAUCUUUUAGAUUAAGAACAAUUUUAAGUGAAAUCAUGAGCAAGAAGAGUCCAGAACAUGCUGGAAAUCCAGGGAGAGCCUGGAUAUCCCAGUGGCAUACUAUUCUCAGGGGACCAAAGGUGGAAAAAUGUGGUCAGAGGUUGUGCUGGAAUUGAUGCUGAGAAUGGCAGUAACCCAAUUAUGGGACUCUACACAUGGAGAUCUUCGUGUGUUUGUGAGAGAGGCAUACAAUUGGCAUUGUAUUAGGGCAUCUCUCCCUCUGUAUAUGAUUGGGUUCUGUCCUUGCUUCUGCUUCUCAUGGGGGGGAAAAAAAGGAUGUGACUCUGGGAGCUUGUGGUGUCUAUUUCCCAAAGGGGGGGGGGUGUAAGACCAGUCAAGCCCAGUGUCAAUCCAGCUUGGUCCAGAAGCUUCACCAAUCAUAGGCACAAUUAGUAUUGGCACCAGUCAAAGAAGCAGGGGCAGCAGCAACAGCAAGAAAUCCCAGAAUGCAAUUCCUCAGCCCCCAAAAGAACACAACAAAUGAAUACAGAAAGAAAAAAAUAUAUAUAUAUCAUUCAUCCAGUUCAAUGCUUACUACCAAUGCUAUCCUAUUCUUACUUUUUUUACUGUUUUUCUUCCUCUCUCUCUCUCUCUACAAAUUAUAAACAAUUAAAUGGUUCAUAUAUAUAUAUAUAUAUAUAUACAAAAUUUGUGUGUUAUUCUCAAUGGCUUAAAUUAUCAAUACUGCAGUUGUUAGUUUUGAUACAUAUGUGGAGUUUGUGGGUCAAGUGGAACAAUGGAAUACUUGACUGUGUUGAUCAAUGGGAAUCAUUGGACCUCUUUUCUGAGAUAAUAAUGUGCUCUUCAUAGGUGGUAAAUGCUUACCUUCUAAUUGAGAAUAUUGUGUUCUUAUCUCCUCUGAUCCUGACUGGCUGUAUAAUAGUGGUUGUGUACUACUUGAUGCAAUGUAAAAGGCAGAUUCUGCAUGGAGAUCAAGGAAAUUCAAGAAUAUAAAAAUCAAUAAAAAAAAAAAAAAAUUGUGGUGCAUUUUGGGAGUUCUAUAUCCUAAUCAGCAGAUGCAGCACUUUAGAAUGCUGCAUUUGGAGUUGUAAGUUGGCUCUUUGUCCUUUUUCACUUCCAUAUUUAUUUUCUUUUGAAUGCCAGAGGUUUUUAAGAAGAGAACUGAGCUGGCUGCCUUGGACCACUCUAUUUCAAUUCAUAAUGUUAUAUCAGAUCACAUGAGGUCCACAUGGGCAAAACUAUUUUGGCUUGUUAUUAAGAGUUACCAAAAGAAAACAAUGAAGUCUUGUUCAAAUAAGUGUUGAUUGCCAAAAAAGCUUAGGAUUUAAACUUUCAAACCUGUCUGAGUAACACAGUUGUUGAAGAACUUCAAUGUUUUGCCAUGUGACAAGCAAUGUGAAAUGUUGGGAAAAAAACCUUCCCAAUCACCAGCUUUUGUUUUUAAUCCACAUGUACAGCCCCAUCAAAUGCUGCAGUUCUGAAAUAUAAAUGCAACAACAGUAUGCAUUUAAAGCACAUCAAACAUCUUCAUAGCAAAAGUCAUCCAUUUAUUUAAAUUUCCUUCAAAAGCAUUAGCACUUUGUACAAUUUAUAUGCACAAGAAUGUCUAGUCAAAAGAAGCCCAGAGGCAGUGUCAGAAUCUGGCUGCCAUUCCAAGAGUCCAGCCAAAUGUGGCAUGUCUCAUUUACAAACAGUUCUUAUUUAUAUACUUGUAUGAGUAACCAUGAUGCAGUGAAUAUGCAGUCAUUGUUGUUGGCAACAAGAGAUUCCUUCUUUUUAACAGGUAUGGUCAGAAGCACAAUGCUGUUCAGUUGGUGACAGCUAGAUUAAUCAAAAUUCUCACAUUUGUGUGGCAGGAGAGACCAUUCAGAAAAUUGGUCAGCAUGUGUGAGUACUAUGGCAGGGAUUUUUUAUUUGAAGUUUUAAAGGAGAUAACAUGGACUUUUAGGUCCUUGAAAGUUUUUGGGUAUGUGUGUGUAAUAUCUUGUUGAAAAAUAAACCAAGCAUUUUAAAAAACUUGUGUAAAGAAUAAAUAAAGGCUGAACAGUUGCUGCAAAGUGAUUGAUUUCUGUAGAGUGUAAAACUGCUGAAUGAGUGAUAUAGUUGUUUGUGUGAAUUACAGUGAUUUUGUGUUUUCAAAGCUUGAUGUAAGGUCACAUUCAUCAAAGACCAGGCUGACUGUAAUGCCUGAGACUUACAUCCAGUGUUAUGUAUUCAUUUUUGUAUAAUUUUUCUGAACAGGGUUGGAAAGAAAACUAUAACAAUUAAAAUAAAAGGGAAUAAAAUAAAUAAAUAAAUAAGAAGUUACUUGUAUGUUAUGCUUAAGGUUCAAAUUGUAACUAGUCACCCAAUAUCCUUACACAACUAACCACAUCCAUGACUUCCAGAAAGUUCCUUUUUAAUAUCUUGUAAAAAGAACUUUAAUGUUUAUGAAAAAAAUACACACACACACCCACACAUAUAUAUAUUUAUAAACCAUGCUUCAGAAUUUGAAAGAGUGCGUCAGUCAUUUCCCCUUCAUUGUUCCUAUUUUAUUAUUAUUUUGGGGAUGAGAAAGGACAACUUUGACCAGGUCCGUACGCCUGCCGUAUGUACGAUCACGGCCCACACUGGCACCUGUUCCAAAUCCAAAUCUGGGUAGUUAUCGUUCCGGGUGUCAAUCGAAAACGCCUCAGCGGACGAUUUCGGAAAGCAGUUUCCAUGGCUUGUUUCAUUAAGCCAUUCAUUAUUUGCAUUUUGAACUUUGGCAAGUUCAUUAAGCCAUUGUUACAGCACGACAUCGAUUAAUCAGAGGGGUGGGAACUUCUUACUUGUGGAAAAUAUACAUUUAUUUCUUACAUUUAUACAUGAUUAGAGCUACAUCCAUUUUUCGUUUUGAUUUUUGUAAAUUUUUCUUGUACAAAAGAUCUUCCCCGAAAUUGUAUUCAUGCUGUUGCCAAAAUGAAAUAAACGUGAGUAUUGGAUUGAGACCAAGUUGUGGGGUUUAUUAUGAAACAGAAAUAAGGAAGUGAAAGGGGAAGUAAUGAGAGUGUUGAUAUAUUGAGGGCCAGAAAGAAAGAGGGGCUAAAUCAGCAUAGAUGAGAGGGAUCUGAGGAAUGGGAUACAAGGCCCCCAUUAAUUGUAUCCUUACGUGUGGACAAAAAGUCUUAGCUGGAUGCCAGCUGGAAUCCCAACAGCCAUUAGGAGGUGCAGCAGGGAAAUCGCGAUAUUGUGGAAAAGUAAUCGAGAAAGGAAAAAAGGAAAAGGAAAAAGAAAAAGCAACGCGGGUUUCUCUCCGCUCCUUCCUCUCCCCCUUCCAUGUGGUUCACUACGCUCUGGCAGACAAUCCAUGUGAUUUCGGAGAUCUGAGAGUGUCUUUCCAUAGUAUUCAUGGACAAUGGACUUCCGAGUCCCUCAGAUGGCCCUCCAUUCCUGACGUGGCUCUCUCCCUUUGGUACAAAAUCCACAAACUCCUGCAAAAUUGGAGAAAGUUAUUGGUUUUUUAAUUAAAAUUUUGACCCUCAAAAUGAAAUUUUCAUAGAAAAGCAGAGUUUACUCAAUAUGAAUUGAUUUAGGACAGUGUAGUGAUUUUGGACAUUGUGGUAUAGUAUGAACCAAGCUAAUUUUAAAAAUGGCUUGGUCUCCCGUGGUGCUGAUUGUGCAUUUCUACGAAUGGGCUCACUUUUUCGAGGUGAAGCGUGAUCUGUGGGCUCCACUCACUAUUCACGAUUCACGAUUACCAGUAAACAAUGAUGAAAGGAACUGGGGAGCUGGAUUCCAUUGCCAACGUGGCCAUGAGGCCCGGUCGACGAGAUUUCGCCCGCGAUUUCCCAACUUCCGUCCGUCCAUGUCCAAGGGGAAGGCGACAGCCAGCUGCCAAGACUGGCCUCCAGUGAACUCGUUGGGACAAAUCCUCAGCCCCCCCCACCCGGCCCGGCCCGGCCUGCACUUUUGUGUUUCUUUCUUGCAAUGGCCGUGACCUAGUCGAUUUUUUCGCCACAUCCCGAAACCCUAAUUUUACAAUAAGUAAAGUUCAAACUCAUACGAGGAAAACGUAUUCUUUUGCAUGUGAGAGAGAGAGUUUAUGCAUCAUUUUUACUUUGGAUGUAGAAAGGAAUAAAAGGAGUUUAAUAAUUUUCUUUGUUUGGAAUGGAGGUUGGGAAAUAGACUCAAUAUGAAUUGGAUGUUGUGGAGUCGUUGUUGGGGACCUUGAGGGAAUUUAAUGCGUAUCAAAUAGAGGCCCCUAUUGCCUCUCUUGGCCUUCUUCUCCUUUUUCAACUUUAAUUAAUUAAUUAAUUUAUUUUUGUGGUUUGGGUUGAAUAGUGCUCCUUUUUUGAAGGUGUACGUUGUUACAACAAUUAUUCUGGUACCGUAGUACUAAAAGGUAACUUUAACGUUCUGAAACAGCUAUGAGGAGCAGGAAAGAAAAGAAAAGAAAAGAAAAGAAAUAGAGAAUGGGUGAACCCUAUUGCCAAAUAGUAAGGGUGGAAUAUUCUUCCUUCAUUUCCUCCUCUCUCACUCUUCUUCAAUGUGGCAUGCAUCUUGCCUCUCGCUCAAAAAAAACAUUACCUGGGCUCUUUUGCAACACAAGGAAAAUGCUUUUGUGUGCUGCUUUGACAUCUUUAGAGCACUGGCAAAAAAAAACAGUUACAUAAAUCACAAGGCCCCACAUGAAGAAAAUUAGUAUGAACAAUCAAAAUAAAUCACAUAGUAAACAAUAAAAAAGUGCUGUUUAUGUUGUCGUAAGUAACUAAAUAGUUCUUGUGCUCAGUAUUAGUAAAGUAAAAGAAUAACAAUGUGAAUGUGAAGUUGUGGGUAAAACAAAUUAAAUUCAGAGAAAGAACAUGAUGAACUAAAAAGUUAAUCUAUAAUAAUGGAUAGGUGUUGUGAAGUUUUUUCUUUCACAUGGGGUGUUGGAUUCCAUGAUUGCUAUAUUAAAAUGGUGUGAUUGUCAUUUAGAAAUGAUUUGUUUGAUUCAGAAAUUUCUUUAUAUUGUGUUGUGUCGAACUCCAAGUGCACUUGGCCUUUAGCCAUUCAUUUAUUUGGGUCUAGCUGGAGUGCAGUUAAAAAGCACCACAUUCUCAUGCUCCAAGCUCUGUGGGGAAAAUUUGCAGUUACUACAAAUUGCAUAAAAUACAAUAAAAUAAAGCAAUUGGGUUGUCUAUAAUGUGUGGCAUUUCCAGGCAGGAGAUAUGAUAUUUCAACACUGAAGCAUCUGCAGCCACACGUCAAAGGAAAUUAGUUUGAUUGUUCUGUCUCCAUGUUCUGUAGAAAUCGCUGCAUGUGUAUACCUAGCAAUUGCACUCAGUUGUUUGUUUUGUUUUGUUCUGUUUUUCAAAUUUUUUAUUAUAUAAGCUUUGAUGUGGAUUUGAGCAUGGAGUUGAAGAAUAGGUCCAAAACAAGAAACUUAGAAACAGGAUUUUUAAUUGCUGCGCAAAGCCUUUGCAUAUGAUCACAUGAUGCUCACUUUUUACUAAAGGACAGGGCAAGGAUCUCAUGUGCCCCCCCCCCUCUUGAUAAUUAUGAAUUCUAUAACCCUAAAUCUCAAAUGUUUGACUCUGUCUGUGUGUGUGUGUGUGAACUGGAAGUUCUCAUACCCUACUCUUGAGCUUCCUUUUUAGGGUUUUGUGAGUUAGCAAGGGACUUGUUUGUAGAACCAUCUGGAACCUUGGACUUCUGCAUUCUGGGGAUUUGCAGACUUGAUGGGGUACAUUUGUUUAGUUGGGUGAGCAGAAAGUAUGCCUAAAAAUGGGUUAUAUAUACAUGGAAAAGUCUCUCUCUCUCUCUCUCUAUAUAUAUAUAUCUAUCUGGCGUUGCCCACCAAGCCCUGAUCCUAUUUCUCCCACCCAGAUCAUGAACCCAAGGGUACACUAAAACACACCAACUUUAACACCUGUAACAUGAUUUUAUUAAUUUUUGAUGUUGAAACCGAUGUUGCAAAGCUUUGGAUUCAUUAAUUUUUUUUAUUUAAUUUUUCAUUCUUUUCCUACAAAAUCCACCAUGACAUGGGAAAAGAGGAAACUUUGAGCUCAUUGGUUGUGUGUUUCUCAAAGUAAAAGGCUCUUGUGGUUGGCAAAGGGGAUGAUGACAUCAUUGUUAAUCACAAGGUAGUUGGACAUCCAAAGGGCUUGUUAUACACACAACCAUAUGAUUAUGGGCCAAAAAGCUACCAUUCCAGCACAAUCCUCAAGAGAUUGUGAAACACAAAGUUCUUUGGCACUACAUGGCAUUGGGUAUAAUUAAUAUCUAUUUCUUCAUGCAUUUUUAUACCCCCCCCCCCACUUCCCAAAAUUUAGUAACAGUAAAAGGAAAAAAAAAUAAACAAUAAUGGUCUAAUAAUUCAUUGAUUCUGUCAGAAAAGAAAGUGGAAUUCCAUUACAUUGCUUUUUGAUUUUGGGUUUUUGUUUAAUUUUUUCGGAAUCAAGCAACAAUGUGCAUUGUGGGCUGGCUGGGUUCCCUUUCCUUUCAUUCCAAGUCCCAAGACAAAGGAUCACAUCUCCAAUCUUGGUCCCCCCUGCCUUUUGCUUUUUUUCUCUUUUCUUCCUGGGCUGGCUUUUGCUGCUGAGGAAUACACACACACUCACACACUCAUAUAUAUAGAUAUAGUUAAAUAGUGUAAGUAUGUGUCAUACCAAAGUAGCAGUAGUAGUAAUGGUAGUGGUGCUGGGGGGCAAAUCAUCUCAGAAAAAUAAUGAUAAAUGAGCCAAAAUGAUGAAUGUACCCACUACUCAUACCAAUAAUUAUGGGAUGGAGCCCCCCUUUUCCUUUGCCAUUUCCUUUACUUAUUCCCCCUUUUUUGUUUCCGUUACUCAAGGCAAGUCAUGAUUUGGGUUUGACACUGGUAUUAGGUUUUGGUAGAGAGAACAAGCUCGACAGAACAUCCCAUGAAGUGCUGGGGAAGGCCUUGAAUGACCCAAAUCAGCACAGCAACAUGCUUGCUAUUAUUAAAAAUACUAAUAAAAAUCAAUCUCUGUAUUUUAUUUCCUUUGCAUUUAUGGCGAGUGAUAGAUGGUAAAUUUUAAUAACAUAAAUAAUAGUAAACUUGAGAUGCCAACAACAAUAUGACAAACUUGUGUGAAAGGGGAGGGGAGAAACACAUAAAAAAUAAAAAUAAAACUAAAACAUUUUAUGUGCCAUGUUGUAGACUAUAUAUCCAAACACAAAGAAUUGGCCAAAGAUGUGAAAUGGGGGUUUGAAGGUUUUGUACAUAUCUGUGGUCAUGGAUCUCCUGGAUAGUGUGAAAGAAUGAAGAGAAGACAUAGAUAAGGCAAAAAAAUACUGCUGAAUAAUGGCUUUUUAUUUAAUGCUGUAUCCAAGUUUCAAGGCUUCUCAAUGAGAGUACAUUUUUACCAACUUGAGGAACUUUGUAAGACUUUUGUAGUGUAUCUUUU
RNAcentral lists this long non-coding RNA (8935 nucleotides) under Physcomitrium patens. RNAcentral describes it as "long non-coding RNA (PPAT_LNC013871)". The record is from RNAcentral. Lineage: Eukaryota; Viridiplantae; Streptophyta; Bryopsida; Funariales; Funariaceae.